Labrus bergylta (ballan wrasse) is the source of this 272-nucleotide non-coding RNA. Lineage: Eukaryota; Metazoa; Chordata; Actinopteri; Labriformes; Labridae. The record is from RefSeq and is a predicted model, not a curated record.
CUUUCAAUCUUUCUUUUUUCCUGGACUUGUAGUUCCCAUCACAUUGGAAGCUGCCAAGGUUCCCAUAGUGAUAAGGUCCACAUCUUGUUCCUGUGCUGCAGGGAGAGCCCUUUGGAACCACUUGGUGGGGCUUCUUUAUCUAAGUGCCCGUUUCAGCACCUCGAACUACAAGAUUGUGCCAUUACAUGUGUCUUGCACUGACAGACUGCAGACCUGGCACAGGCCUCGGACCCAGGGCCCCUUCCUGACCCGGGUGUGAUGUCUGUUGGAGA